This 94-nucleotide ribosomal RNA is filed under the name Gongora sp. SRR-2011. Its description in RNAcentral is "5.8S ribosomal RNA". It matches the Rfam family "5.8S ribosomal RNA", at positions 1 to 89 of the family's 154-position model. Rfam says of the family: 5.8S ribosomal RNA (5.8S rRNA) is a component of the large subunit of the eukaryotic ribosome. It is transcribed by RNA polymerase I as part of the 45S precursor that also contains 18S and 28S rRNA. Functionally, it is thought that 5.8S rRNA may be involved in ribosome translocation. The record is from RNAcentral. Lineage: Eukaryota; Viridiplantae; Streptophyta; Magnoliopsida; Asparagales; Orchidaceae.
GACACGACUCUCGGCAAUGGAUAUCUCGGCUCUUGCAUCGAUGAAGAGCGCAGCGAAAUGNGAUACGUGGUGCGAAUUGCAGAAUCCCGCGAAC